CCUACGGGCGGCAGCAGUGGGGAAUAUUGGGCAAUGGGCGAAAGCCUGACCCAGCAACGCCGCGUGAAGGAAGAAGGCUUUCGGGUUGUACACUUCUUUUGACAGGGAGGAGCAGCAGACGGUACCUGUCGACUUAGCCACGGCUAACUACGUGCCAGCAGCCGCGGUCAUACGUAGGUGGCAAGCGUUGUCCGGAUUUACGGGGUGAAAAGGGCGUGUAGCCGGGCUGACAAGUCAGUUGUGAAAUCCGGGGCUCAACCCCCGAACUGCAUUUGAAACUGUUGGUCUUGAGUAUAGGAGAGGCAGGCGGAAUUCCUGGUGUAGCGGUGAAAUGCGUAGAUAUUAGGAGGAACACCAGUGGCGAAGGCGGCCUGCUGGACGACAACUGACGGUGAGGCGCGAAAGCGUGGGGAGCAAACAGGAUUAGAUACCCCAGUAGUC
This 441-nucleotide ribosomal RNA is filed under the name uncultured bacterium. Its description in RNAcentral is "partial 16S ribosomal RNA". It matches the Rfam family "Bacterial small subunit ribosomal RNA", at positions 338 to 795 of the family's 1533-position model. The record is from RNAcentral.